This 235-nucleotide ribosomal RNA is filed under the name Sesamia calamistis. RNAcentral's name for it is "partial 12S ribosomal RNA". Lineage: Eukaryota; Metazoa; Arthropoda; Insecta; Lepidoptera; Noctuidae. The record is from RNAcentral.
AAUUUACUUAAUUUAUAAUUUUGUAUAUCGUUGUUAUAAAAAUAUUUUUUAAUAAAAUUAAUAUUUAAAAAUUAAUAAGAAAAAUUAAAUCAGAUCAAGAUGCAGAUUAUAAUUAAGAAUAUAAUGGAUUACAAUAAAUUUAUUUAAAUGAAUUUUAAUUUGUAAUAUUUAAUUGAAGGUGGAUUUAAAUGUAAUUUUAUUUAAUUUAAUAAAAUGAUUAAAAAUUAAAAUAUGU